UACGUAGGGUGCAGGCGUUAAUCGGAAUUACUGGGCGUAAAGCGUGCGCAGGCGGUUUGUUAAGACAGAUGUGAAAUCCCCGGGCUUAACCUGGGAACUGCGUUUCUAACUGGCAGGCUUGAGUGCGGCAGAGGGGGGUGGAAUUCCACGUGUAGCAGUGAAAUGCGUAGAGAUGUGGAGGAACACCGAUGGCGAAGGCAGCCCCCUGGGCUAACACUGACGCUCAUGCACGAAAGCGUGGGGAGCAAACAGG
Molecule: ribosomal RNA, 253 nt
Filed under: uncultured bacterium
Lineage: Bacteria
Description: partial 16S ribosomal RNA
Rfam family: Bacterial small subunit ribosomal RNA
Source: RNAcentral